RNAcentral lists this long non-coding RNA (648 nucleotides) under Callithrix jacchus (white-tufted-ear marmoset). RNAcentral describes it as "lncRNA (ENSCJAG00000074208.1)". The record is from RNAcentral. Lineage: Eukaryota; Metazoa; Chordata; Mammalia; Primates; Cebidae.
AUGGGGCGGGGCUGGCGGGGCCACUCAGGCCCAGCCCCGCUGCCCCUCCUGGCUCUGCCUGGCCCUGAUGGGCCUCCGGAAACAGGAGUUGUUGGCAGGAAACCACUGGCCACCCGUCACGGGGGCAAAGAUAAAGCUCUCUGCCGGCUCCUCGAGUUAUUCCUCCAAAACCUGGCAAGAUGGAGCUCUGGCCAAGGCCUGCGGGAAUCUGGAGUCGCCUCAGACGAGGAAAUGGAAGCUCAGAGAAGAGAAAUGAGUUGGUCCAGCUCACCCAGUGGAACUGGUGGUUCCAGCUGGAAGCAGGGCCUUGGAGGCCCCAGAGUCCGAGCUGCGCCACCCCUGAGACUGAUAAGGAGUCGUCUUCCUGGCAAGCCGUUAGCCAGAAGUGCUCCUGGCAGGGAGCCAGGCCUGGGGCUGGGAAUCCCCACAGCCUGUCUGAAUGGGGGUCGCCCACAGAGGGCUGCCCGAGGCCCCUUCCAGCACCCUGGCCUGUCUCUCCUUGCCAAGUGGACCAGUCUCACCCCUGUCGGAGAGUUUCUGCUAAUCUGGGAGCCAGGCUUGCUGGAGAGACUGAGGAGAGAUUGGCUGAGGGACAGAUUUGCUUGGAGGACACACCUGUGCUUGUCACAGCCUGGGCCCUGGCGCUGA